This 253-nucleotide ribosomal RNA is filed under the name uncultured bacterium. Its description in RNAcentral is "partial 16S ribosomal RNA". It matches the Rfam family "Bacterial small subunit ribosomal RNA", at positions 524 to 776 of the family's 1533-position model. The record is from RNAcentral.
UACGUAGGUGGCAAGCGUUAAUCGGAAUUACUGGGCGUAAAGCGUGCGCAGGCGGUUUUGUAAGUCUGUCGUGAAAGCCCCGGGCUCAACCUGGGAAUUGCGAUGGAGACUGCAAGGCUUGAAUCUGGCAGAGGGGGGUAGAAUUCCACGUGUAGCAGUGAAAUGCGUAGAGAUGUGGAGGAACACCGAUGGCGAAGGCAGCCCCCUGGGUCAAGAUUGACGCUCAUGCACGAAAGCGUGGGGAGCAAACAGG